RNAcentral lists this transfer-messenger RNA (398 nucleotides) under pig gut metagenome. It matches the Rfam family "transfer-messenger RNA". Rfam says of the family: Bacterial tmRNA, also known as 10Sa RNA or SsrA, is named for its dual tRNA and mRNA-like properties. The record is from RNAcentral.
GGGGAUGUUCCGGUUUCGACAGGCAGGAACGACUUCUGCGUGCAGUGGAGUGGUGACCUAAUCACCGACACAACUACAAGUGCCAAAAAAACUGUUCUUUUCCAUGCUCCGGCCCUCAGGGCCUGCGCUGCCUAGUCUUAGGACUAACUGACGCACUUUAGGGAGACAAAGUUUCUCCUACGCAUGACCAAUAAGGGUCUCAUCAGCUUAUUCUUAUUGGGUUUUCGAGCUGUUCAGGAUUGCUCCUUAUCCGCUUAGGGGCAUCCGGUCAUUCAAGCGGAUAGGAAGGGUGAAUUUCGCUGGUGUCUUUUUCCUUCCGAAAUACAACACCAGACAAACUGUAGUACGCAUUAGAGAUUCCUGUUUGGACACGGGUUCGACUCCCGCCAUCUCCACCA